CACUGCAUCACUAAACUAAUAUUUAACGGAUUGGUCCGUAAACAUCAUGGGUCUUUCGGGUUAUUUCUAAUUAUUUGUGAAAACAAAGUUAUUCUUGAGGGCAUUUUUUGUCGUUGAUGUUACAAAUAUUAUCAUAAUCAAUAUGGAAAUUACAUGAACCGGGCACUGGUUUCGCCCCUAAUACAAACAAUAUUACAUGAGCAUCAAGAAGAAAUCAAAAAUGGAAGAACAAAAUAGGAUACAAUGAGAUUAUAACAAAAAUAUAUUGCUAAGGAAGACUCAGAUGCCUCUGUGAUCACUGGUGCCUGAUCUAAACAGCUAUUGGCAUCAUCAAUUAUCGUCCCAAGUGUGGCAUUCUUCACCUCUUCGUGGGUAUACACCUGGACCUGGGAUGCCACGAUGCAAAGAUCACUGCAAAUCAAAGGAAACAUAUAUUUGCUUUUAGUGUCACCCAGAAAGCUAAAACAAUCAAAACAUGAUUAAACCAAAUAAUUCAAUCAUCCUUAACUGGGUUAAAGCAAAAUGGUGUGCAACAACCAUUGUUAAUAGCAUUGGCCAUUCAAAACCUCAAACAUCGUAUCACUCAAAAUCACCCAAAAAAAUCUCAACAAUCCAUAAGUCAUCUACCACUACCCCACCAUAUCUUAACAGACCAAACAAAUCUAGAAAUAUGAAACAAAAAGAUCCAAAAUUGGAGAAUGGGUUAGAAUUGCCAAGAAAAUGCAGCAUCUAAAUCUAAUUUCCUUGCUGUGAUGGAGUAGGUUGAUUUGAUAUUGAUGAUAAAGGCCAGUUACCAUCCUACUCCAAUUAUGGUCAUCAUUGGCAAAUAAAAAUCUUCUCCAACAGUUACGUAUGCAUAAAUCAGCAAUAACUGGGACAACAUAAGAAUUUCAAAAAUGCAAACCAGAAGUCAUCACCAAUUGGCAUAUUCCUUUUUCAGUUAUGUAUUCAAGUAGGCAUAAAAGGCAAAUAUUCAGAAAAGGAUUCCAAAACAGCAGGAUUAGGCAGCAAUCAAUUUAAAUGGAGUAAUUAGAGGUAAAAUGAUUAUUAGUAAUCAUUGAGCAUUAUUCAAAACUGAAAGGAAUAAUCAGAAAAGAGCAAGAGUCAGGGUAUAUGUUCCUAUAUCUUAGGUGAGAAUUCAGAAAUAUCUCAGCAGUUACAUAUAAUCAUAAUCAGCAUGAAUGGAAAUAAUUAUUGAGCAGUUUCAGAAUGGAUAACCAGAAAGCAAAAGGGCAGUACAACAUAAACACACAGCUAUAAAGGGCGUACAGCUAUCAAUAGAAAAACAUGAGAGAGGAUUCCAGAGAUAAAAAAAAAGACACAUACGUUCAGAGAAUAGAGAGAAAAGUCAUACAUUAUACACAACUAUAACCAGAGCACUACUUCCAUACAUCCAACAAAAAUCAACCUAAAAUAGGCUCACAUUUCACGAGCAGCGUAAAGCGACACACAUAUACUCAGUAAACGCAGAGAGCAUUUCAACCGUAAAAAACAGAGGACAUUACAACAGUGCUAAACAAGGGCAGCAAGUACAACACCGAAGCAGAACAUCGGUAGAUAAAGAAUCAACACUCGGAAGGACA
This 1583-nucleotide long non-coding RNA is filed under the name Lupinus angustifolius (narrow-leaved blue lupine). Its description in RNAcentral is "long non-coding RNA (LANG_LNC000670)". The record is from RNAcentral. Lineage: Eukaryota; Viridiplantae; Streptophyta; Magnoliopsida; Fabales; Fabaceae.